Molecule: ribosomal RNA, 253 nt
Filed under: uncultured bacterium
Lineage: Bacteria
Description: partial 16S ribosomal RNA
Rfam family: Bacterial small subunit ribosomal RNA
Source: RNAcentral
GACAGAGGGGGCAAGCGUUGCUCGGAAUUACUGGGCGUAAAGCGCGCGCAGGCGGUCGUUCAAGUCGAGUGUGAAAGCCCCCGGCUCAACUGGGGAGGGUCAUUCGAUACUGAUCGACUCGAAGGCAGGAGAGGGAAGUGGAAUUCCCGGUGUAGUGGUGAAAUGCGUAGAUAUCGGGAGGAACACCAGUGGCGAAGGCGACUUCCUGGCCUGUUCUUGACGCUGAGGCGCGAAAGCUAGGGGAGCAAACGGG